GGCGUCGGCUGAGUAACGCGUGGGUGACGUACCUAUCGGUGGGGAAUAACUGCCCGAAAGGGUGGACUAAUACCGCAUACGCCCGUCGAGUCAAUCGAUGGGGAAAGCCGCAAGGCGCUGAUGGAGCGGCCCGCGUCCGAUUAGCUUGUUGGUGGGGUAACGGCCUACCAAGGCGACGAUCGGUAGCUGGUCUCAGAGGAUGAUCAGCCAGACUGGGACUGAGACACGGCCCAGACUCCAUACGGGAGGCAAGCAGUUAGGAAUUUUGGGCAAUGGGCGCAAGCCUGACCCAGCAACGCCGCGUGGGUAGACGAAGGCCUUCAGGGUUGUAAAGCCCAUUUCUGAGGGAAGAUGAUGACGGUACCUCAGGAAGAAGCACCGGAUAAC
This 387-nucleotide ribosomal RNA is filed under the name uncultured bacterium. RNAcentral describes it as "bacterial SSU rRNA". It matches the Rfam family "Bacterial small subunit ribosomal RNA", at positions 97 to 501 of the family's 1533-position model. The record is from RNAcentral.